This 486-nucleotide ribosomal RNA is filed under the name uncultured Lachnospiraceae bacterium. RNAcentral describes it as "bacterial SSU rRNA". It matches the Rfam family "Bacterial small subunit ribosomal RNA", at positions 897 to 1382 of the family's 1533-position model. Lineage: Bacteria; Bacillati; Bacillota; Clostridia; Lachnospirales; Lachnospiraceae. The record is from RNAcentral.
AAACUUAAAGGAAUUGACGGGGACCCGCACAAGCGGUGGAGCAUGUGGUUUAAUUCGAAGCAACGCGAAGAACCUUACCAGGUCUUGACAUCCCUUUGACCGGUCCGUAACGGGACCUUUCCUUCGGGACAAAGGUGACAGGUGGUGCAUGGUUGUCGUCAGCUCGUGUCGUGAGAUGUUGGGUUAAGUCCCGCAACGAGCGCAACCCUUAUCUUUAGUAGCCAGCAGUUCGGCUGGGCACUCUAGAGAGACUGCCAGGGAUAAACCUGGAGGAAGGCGGGGAUGACGUCAAAUCAUCAUGCCCCUUAUGAUCUGGGCUACACACGUGCUACAAUGGUGACUACAAAGAGACGCAAAGUCGCGAGGCGAAGCAAAUCUCAAAAAGGUCAUCUCAGUUCGGAUUGUAGUCUGCAACUCGACUACAUGAAGCUGGAAUCGCUAGUAAUCACGAAUCAGAAUGUCGUGGUGAAUACGUUCCCGGGUCUU